This 299-nucleotide ribosomal RNA is filed under the name uncultured bacterium. Its description in RNAcentral is "partial 16S ribosomal RNA". It matches the Rfam family "Bacterial small subunit ribosomal RNA", at positions 1082 to 1382 of the family's 1533-position model. The record is from RNAcentral.
UAGUCCGCACGAGCGCACCCCUAUUGUUAGUUGCCAGCAUGUUAUGAUGGGGACUCUAACAAGACUGCCUGCGCAAGCAGAGAGGAAGGAGGGGAUGACGUCAAGUCAUCAUGGCCCUUACGCCCAGGGCUACACACGUGCUACAAUGGCGCAUACAGAGGGUCGCUACCUGGCAACAGGAUGCCAAUCUCAAAAAGUGCGUCUCAGUUCGGAUUGGGGUCUGCAACUCGACCCCAUGAAGUCGGAAUCGCUAGUAAUCGCGCAUCAGCAAUGGCGCGGUGAAUACGUUCCCGGACCUU